RNAcentral lists this ribosomal RNA (434 nucleotides) under uncultured bacterium. Its description in RNAcentral is "partial 16S ribosomal RNA". It matches the Rfam family "Bacterial small subunit ribosomal RNA", at positions 29 to 507 of the family's 1533-position model. The record is from RNAcentral.
AGCGAACGCUGGCGGCAGGCCUAACACAUGCAAGUCGAACGAACCUUUCGGGGUUAGUGGUGGACGGGUGAGUAACACGUGGGAACGUGCCUUUAGGUUCGGAAUAACUCAGGGAAACUUGUGCUAAUACCGAAUGUGCCCUUCGGGGGAAAGAUUUAUCGCCUUUAGAGCGGCCCGCGUCUGAUUAGCUAGUUGGUUGAGGUAAUGGCUCACCAAGGCGACGAUCAGUAGCUGGUCUGAGAGGAUGAUCAGCCACAUUGGGACUGAGACACGGCCCAAACUCCUACGGGAAGCAGCAGUGGGGAAUCUUGCGCAAUGGGCGAAAGCCUGACGCAGCCAUGCCGCGUGAAUGAUGAAGGUCUUAGGAUUGUAAAAUUCUAUCACCGGGGACGAUAAUGACGGUACCCGGAGAAGAAGCCCCGGCUAACUUCGUG